GACGAACGCUGGCGGCGGGCUUAACACAUGCAAGUCGAACGGAAAGGCCCUGCUUUUGUGGGGUGCUCGAGUGGCGAACGGGUGAGUAACACGUGAGUAACCUGCCCUUGACUUUGGGGUAACUUCAGGAAACUGGGGCUAAUACCGGAUAGGAGCUCCUGCUGCAUGGUGGGGGUUGGAAAGUUUCGGCGGUUGGGGAUGGACUCGCGGCUUAUCAGCUUGUUGGUGGGGUAGUGGCUUACCAAGGCUUUGACGGGUAGCCGGCCUGAGAGGGUGACCGGCCACAUUGGGACUGCGAUACGGCCCAGACUCCUACGGGAGGCAGCAGUGGGGAAUAUUGCCCAAUGGGCGGAAGCCUGAUGCAGCAACGCCGCGUGCGGGAUGACGGCCUUCGGGUUGUAAACCGCUUUAGCCUGUGACGAAGCGUGAGUGACGGUAAUGGGUAAAGAAGCACCGGCUAACUACGUG
Molecule: ribosomal RNA, 468 nt
Filed under: uncultured bacterium
Lineage: Bacteria
Description: partial 16S ribosomal RNA
Rfam family: Bacterial small subunit ribosomal RNA
Source: RNAcentral